CCUACCAACUCCCUCUCAGAACCUCCAGGUUGCCAAAAAAUAUGCAGUACUGAAACGGCAGCUGAAGGAAAGGCAGGAACCAUGUGCUCUAAGACAGGGACCCUUGAGCUUCUCCCCCAGCAUUUGUGAAGCCUUUUGCAGCUGCUCCGCAACCACAUCCUGUCCUUAUUGAAGGCCGGGAGGAGCCUCGGAGACGAUUGUGCUGGCCAGGGUGGAAGGCAGAAAAGAGAUGUCAGAGUUGCUCCAGGAUAACAGUGUCG
Long non-coding RNA from Pan paniscus (pygmy chimpanzee), 260 nucleotides. The record is from Ensembl. Lineage: Eukaryota; Metazoa; Chordata; Mammalia; Primates; Hominidae.